GAACUGCGGCCAAUGGAAGGUGCGGGGUCGGUGCCUGCGGGCGUGGGCAACGAGCAGAGCCCCCUGGCCUCUCCACCUAGGAGCCAGACAUGGCAGCUGCUGCUGGUAGCCGCUUGAAGUGUCUCCUGAAUCUAUAGGGCCCUACUCAUCUCUUAAAAAGUAUGCACAAUAUCAACGGGAAUUAUGUACAUGUAUCUGAAGAGAGAAAAAGUUUAGAAUCCUGAUGGAACUGAUAUAUUGACUACACUAUUCCCAAUGAAAACAGGAGAUUCCAGUCAUCUUAAUGUCAAGGGAAUUCAGAGUCAUGGCUGAAACUCCAGAAUUGCAAGGGUCUACAAACAGUUGGAGAAACAGUGCAGAAUCUGUGUUGCAAUGCCUAAGAACAUUGCUAGGUGACUUAAGGACAAGAUUUAAAU
Mauremys mutica (yellowpond turtle) is the source of this 416-nucleotide long non-coding RNA. RefSeq lists it as uncharacterized. The record is from RefSeq and is a predicted model, not a curated record. Lineage: Eukaryota; Metazoa; Chordata; Testudines; Geoemydidae. The transcript has 3 exons.